RNAcentral lists this long non-coding RNA (730 nucleotides) under Helianthus annuus (common sunflower). Lineage: Eukaryota; Viridiplantae; Streptophyta; Magnoliopsida; Asterales; Asteraceae. The record is from RNAcentral.
UUUUUAAUUGUAAUUUACAUGAGUAUCUAUGUGGUCAGGAUAGACCAAAAUCUGAUAUAACCUGAAUAAUUGAGAAUUUCAAAAGUGUCUUUUCAGUCAAAAUUUGACUCGUGGCCUCAAUCGACUUAUGUGGUAGCAUCCGAGGGGAGUAGAGGAAAGGUGCCUGCAGUUCUAAAAUGACAACGGCUUGACGUUAAGGGCCGCUUGAAGUUGCUUUUCAUUAUGGUGCUUAAAUAUGAAAUCAUGAGUUGAUAAGAAGGAUGCCUGAAUUAAAACGUCGGAACUUCAAAUUAAAGCACACUCGCUUCAUCUUCCCUUAGCCCACCGUUUCCUUCUCUUCCCCUCACCCCUCCAGACCAUACAAAUCCCAUAACAAACCAGAACCCUAGCAAAAUUCAAUUCAUCUCUCAAUCUCACUUCUCUCUCUCGAGAUCUGGAACCCUAGCUUCCUCCAUCGCCCUCCAAUCGGACGACAAAGAACCGGAGAUGAAAAAAAAUGACGAUCAAAUCGAAGGUGAACACCGAUUUCUGAGAAACCCGAACGGAUUUGCAGGUGUUAUACGUAAUAGGCUGGUCUCCCCUUAGCAUCAUAGAGUCUCGCAAGCUUUGGGAUGCAUUUAUCUGUUGAACAAUUUUUCUCUUUUUAUUCCGAUCCGCCUGUGGAUCUAUUUCGACUACUUGUGAUACUUUAAUAUUACAUUUGAUGGUUGAAAUAAAUCUAUUUCUUUUU